This 440-nucleotide ribosomal RNA is filed under the name uncultured bacterium. Its description in RNAcentral is "partial 16S ribosomal RNA". It matches the Rfam family "Bacterial small subunit ribosomal RNA", at positions 338 to 795 of the family's 1533-position model. The record is from RNAcentral.
CCUACGGGGGGCAGCAGUGGGGAAUAUUGCACAAUGGGGGAAACCCUGAUGCAGCGACGCCGCGUGAGUGAAGAAGUAUUUCGGUACGUAAAGCUCUAUCAGCAGGGAAGAAAAUGACGGUACCUGACUAAGAAGCCCCGGCUAACUACGUGCCAGCAGCCGCGGUAAUACGUAGGGGGCAAGCGUUAUCCGGAUUGACUGGGUGUAAAGGGAGCGUAGAGGGCAACGAAAGUCUGAAGGGAAAUCCCAUGGCUUAACCAUGAAACUGCUUUUGAAACUGUGCAGCUAGAGUGCAGGAGAGGUAAGCGGAAUUCCUAGUGUAGCGGUGAAAUGCGUAGAUAUUAGGAGGAACACCAGUGGCGAAGGCGACUUACUGGACUGUAACUGACGUUGAGGCUCGAAAGCGUGGGGAGCAAACAGGAUUAGAUACCCCAGUAGUC